UACGUACCGUCCAAACGUUAUUCGGAAUUACUGGGCUUAAAGGGUACGUAGGCGGCGCUGUUAGUCGGGUGUGAAAUCCCAGGGCUCAACCCUGGAACUGCGCCCGAUACUGCAGUGCUUGAGGAAGACAGAGGUAAGCGGAACUGAUGGUGGAGCGGUGAAAUGCGUUGAUAUCGGAAGGAACGCCGGUGGCGAAAGCGACGUACUGGACCUCUUCUGACGCUGAGGCGCGAAAGCUAGGGGAGCAAACGGG
Molecule: ribosomal RNA, 253 nt
Filed under: uncultured bacterium
Lineage: Bacteria
Description: partial 16S ribosomal RNA
Rfam family: Bacterial small subunit ribosomal RNA
Source: RNAcentral